GAUGAACGCUGGCGGCGUGCCUAAUACAUGCAAGUCGAGCGAACAGAUGAGGAGCUUGCUCCUCUGACGUUAGCGGCGGACGGGUGAGUAACACGUGGAUAACCUACCUAUAAGACUGGGAUAACUUCGGGAAACCGGAGCUAAUACCGGAUAAUAUAUUGGACCGCAUGGUUCAAUAGUGAAAGACGGUUUUGCUGUCACUUAUAGAUGGAUCCGCGCCGCAUUAGCUAGUUGGUAAGGUAACGGCUUACCAAGGCAACGAUGCGUAGCCGACCUGAGAGGGUGAUCGGCCACACUGGAACUGAGACACGGUCCAGACUCCUACGGGAGGCAGCAGUAGGGAAUCUUCCGCAAUGGGCGAAAGCCUGACGGAGCAACGCCGCGUGAGUGAUGAAGGUCUUCGGAUCGUAAAACUCUGUUAUUAGGGAAGAACAAAUGUGUAAGUAACUAUGCACGUCUUGACGGUACCUAAUCAGAAAGCCGCAGCUAACUACGUG
Molecule: ribosomal RNA, 497 nt
Filed under: uncultured bacterium
Lineage: Bacteria
Description: partial 16S ribosomal RNA
Rfam family: Bacterial small subunit ribosomal RNA
Source: RNAcentral